UGCCAGCAGCCGCGGUAAUACGGGGGAUGCAAGUGUUAUCCGGAAUUAUUGGGCGUAAAGGGCCUGUAGAUUGUUUAUUAAGUCCAUUGUUAAAUGUUAAGGCUCAACCUUAGAAAUGCGAUAGAAACUGAUAAUCUCGAGUAUUGUAGAGAUAAAGGGAAUUUCUAGUGGAGUGGUGAAAUGCAUAGAUAUUAGAAAGAACACCAGAGGCGAAAGCGCUUUAUUGGCCUGAUACUGACAUUGAGAGGCGAAAGCUAGGGUAGCGAAAGGGAUUAGAUA
Molecule: ribosomal RNA, 279 nt
Filed under: uncultured bacterium
Lineage: Bacteria
Description: partial 16S ribosomal RNA
Rfam family: Bacterial small subunit ribosomal RNA
Source: RNAcentral